RNAcentral lists this unclassified non-coding RNA (404 nucleotides) under soil metagenome. Its description in RNAcentral is "partial contains 5.8S ribosomal RNA, internal transcribed spacer 2, and large subunit ribosomal RNA". The stretch from base 1 to 122 matches the Rfam family "5.8S ribosomal RNA", at positions 35 to 154 of the family's 154-position model. The record is from RNAcentral.
GAUGAAGAACGUAGCAAAAUGCGAUACUUGGUGUGAAUUGCAGAAUCCCGUGAACCAUCGAGUUUUUGAACGCAAGUUGCGCCCGAAGCCUUUUGGCCGAGGGCACGUCUGCCUGGGCGUCACGCAUCGCGUCGCCCCCCGCAAUUCUCCGUAAAGGGAACAUGUGUUUUGGGGGCGGAUAUUGGUCUCCCGUGCUCAUGGCGUGGUUGGCCGAAAUAGGAGUCCUUUCGAUGGACGCACGAACUAGUGGUGGUCGUAAAAACCCUCGUCUUUUGUUUCGUGCUGUUGCUCGCAAGGUAAACUCUUUAAAAACCCCAAUGUGUCGUCUCUUGACGACGCUUCGACCGCGACCCCAGGUCAGGCGGGACUACCCGCUGAGUUUAAGCAUAUCAAUAAGCGGAGGA